Molecule: ribosomal RNA, 546 nt
Filed under: uncultured bacterium
Lineage: Bacteria
Description: partial 16S ribosomal RNA
Rfam family: Bacterial small subunit ribosomal RNA
Source: RNAcentral
UGGGGAAUAUUGGACAAUGGGCGGAAGCCUGAUCCAGCAACGCCGCGUGAGGGAUGACGGCCUUCGGGUUGUAAACCUCUUUCAGCACAGACGAAGCGCAAGUGACGGUAUGUGCAGAAGAAGGACCGGCCAACUACGUGCCAGCAGCCGCGGUAAUACGUAGGGUCCGAGCGUUGUCCGGAAUUAUUGGGCGUAAAGGGCUCGUAGGCGGUUUGUCGCGUCGGGAGUGAAAACACCGGGCUUAACUCGGUGCUUGCUUUCGAUACGGGCAGACUAGAGGCAUUCAGGGGAGAACGGAAUUCCUGGUGUAGCGGUGAAAUGCGCAGAUAUCAGGAGGAACACCGGUGGCGAAGGCGGUUCUCUGGGAAUGUCCUGACGCUGAGGAGCGAAAGUGUGGGGAGCGAACAGAAUUAGAUACCCUGGUAGUCCACACCGUAAACGUUGGGCGCUAGGUGUGGGAUCCAUUCCACGGGUUCCGUGCCGCAGCUAACGCAUUAAGCGCCCCGCCUGGGGAGUACGGCCGCAAGGCUAAAACUCAAAUGAAUU